GACGAACGCUGGCGGCGUGGAUUAGGCAUGCAAGUCGAACGGUAUCAUCCUUUCGGGGGUGAGAGAGUGGCGAACUGGUGAGUAACACGUAGGUUAUCUACCCUCAAGACGGGGACAACCCAGGGAAACUUGGGCUAAUACCGGAUGUGAGCAACUUUUAGUUGUUUGAAAGGUGGCGUAAGCUGUCGCUUGGGGAUGAGCCUGCGUCCUAUUAGUUAGUUGGUGAGGUAACGGCUCACCUAGGCAAUGAUAGGUAGGCGGCCUUAACGGGUGGUCGCCCACACUGGGAUUGAGAUACGGCCCAGACUCCUACGGGAGCAGCAGUCGAGAAUAGUCUACAAUGGUCGGAAGACUGAUAGUGCGACGCCGCGUGAACGAUGAAUCCCUUCGGGGUGUAAAGUUCUUUUAUAUGUGAGCAGUGCUUCUUAUAUUAACAGUAUGGGGAGAGAGAUAUUAGCAUAUGAAUAAGCAACGGCUAACUCCGUGCCAGCAGCCG
RNAcentral lists this ribosomal RNA (496 nucleotides) under uncultured bacterium. RNAcentral describes it as "bacterial SSU rRNA". It matches the Rfam family "Bacterial small subunit ribosomal RNA", at positions 28 to 517 of the family's 1533-position model. The record is from RNAcentral.